GUCACUAAAUUGCCCAGGCUGGACUUGAACUUAGGAUCCUCCUGCCUCAGCCUUCCAGUGCUGGGAUGACAGGUGCGCACCGUGCCCAGCUAUUUAAUAGACCUUCAAUCACAGUUUUGCUCCUGUGCUGUCUCUGUUUCCUAGUGACGGCCCAUGAAGACUUCACAGCACUGCUUCUCUGUCAUUUACUACUUGGCCAGUGGCCAGGGGGACCCAGAGGGACCUGGUCCUGUUAAGCAGGGUCUCUGGCCGCAGCCCAGCUGCUCGGGGAGGAGGGAAGUGGCUGCAGUCACUGUCUCCUCCUGGCCAAGGGUCAGGCUGCCGUCCUGGACGCUGGCCAGGCAGAAAGUGCACUCUGCUCUGGUUUCGAGUCCCGGGAAAGGACACCUGUGGGGACUGUGGUGGCCCAGAGGGCAGGGCGUGUCCUUCCCACUGGCCACGGCCCCACACAGGAAUCUGAGCCCUGGUUGCCAUGGAAAUGGAUCACCUUCCAUUGCUAAGUAACCAGAGUCCAGUCUCACAGGUCCUGAGUCCCCAAGGGCUGCGAGCCAGGCAGAGGCGGGGCGCAGCUGGGGGUGAGGACACUGUUGGUGUAUCACCCCUGACCAGGGCCACAGAGCUGGGACUCAACCAGAGCUGGGGAUGGAGCCCAGGACCUCACCCCACUGAACCACACCCAGGCCGCCGGAAGAAGCAUUUCUAACCAGCUCAGCCUCCGCCCACGGCUCAACUCACCCCACCCAAGGUGCCCAAGGACACAGCCCAGCCCCGCUCCCGGCUUACGGCCCAGUGCCCCGUGCCUCACUUGCCCACGUGCACGCCGCCUUGCCCAUGCUGUGCACCCACGGAGCGCCCCGUUCCUGCGCCCUGCGCCCACCCCAAGAGCCCCAUCACCUCCUCUGAGACGCCUCGCCCAGCCCUCCCCAGUCCAGACACUGAUCCGCAGCCCCGCUGUUUUCCUGUGGUCUUUUAUCAACACAGUGGUCAUUUCCAUGAA
This is a long non-coding RNA of Chinchilla lanigera (long-tailed chinchilla), 997 nucleotides long. RefSeq lists it as uncharacterized. NCBI's taxonomy places the organism in Eukaryota, Metazoa, Chordata, Mammalia, Rodentia, Chinchillidae. The record is from RefSeq and is a predicted model, not a curated record. The transcript has 2 exons.